GACGAACGCUGGCGGCGUGCCUAAUACAUGCAAGUCGAACGAACGGAUUGAGGAGCUUGCUCUUCAUGAAGUUAGUGGCGGACGGGUGAGUAACACGUGGGUAACCUGCCCUUCAGUGGGGGAUAACAUCCGGAAACGGGUGCUAAUACCGCAUAGUUUCUUUUUCCGCCUGGAAGAAGAAGGAAAGAUGGCCUUUGCGCUAUCACUGAGGGAUGGACCCGCGGCGUAUUAGUUAGUUGGUGGGGUAAUGGCCUACCAAGGCAACGAUGCGUAGCCGACCUGAGAGGGUGAUCGGCCACACUGGGACUGAGACACGGCCCAG
RNAcentral lists this ribosomal RNA (322 nucleotides) under uncultured bacterium. RNAcentral describes it as "bacterial SSU rRNA". It matches the Rfam family "Bacterial small subunit ribosomal RNA", at positions 28 to 334 of the family's 1533-position model. The record is from RNAcentral.